CUCCAUUGACUACAACCCUCUGUUGCCUGUCACUCAGCCACUGCCUUACCCAUUUAACAAUAUUGGAAUCCAAACUUAAAGAUUGCAGUUUAUUGAUAAGCCUUCUAUGUGCAACAGUGUCAAAAGCCUUACUGAAAUCUAGGUAAGCAAUGUCUACUGCACCACCCUGAUCUAUAAGUUUAGUUACCCACUCAAAAUAAUAAUAAGUUAGAUUAGUUUGGCAUGAUCUCCCUGAAGUAAACCCAUGUUGUCUCUGAUCUUGAAAUCCAUGUGAUUUUAGAUGAAAACCAUGUUAAAGGAUAGGAUCUUGAACCUUACUUUCCCCACUACUGAAGUAAGGCUUACUGGCCUCUAGUUGCCCGACUCCUCCCUACUACCUUUCUUUUGAAUAGGCACAACAUUCGCUAACUUCCACUCUUCUGGGACUACACCUGUUAACAAUGAUUGGUUAAAUAAAUCUGUUAAUGGUUUUGCUAGUACACCACUAAGCUCUUUUAAUAAUUGGGUGUAUUCCAUCAGGCCCCAUCAACAGAUUUGUCUUUACUUUAGACAGUUUUUUUUUUUUUUUUUUAAAUAAGUUACCAAAUGCUACCUUUUUAAUGGCAACAUCUGCAGAGUAUCAGAGUGGUUUCUUAAAGGUUUUGCUUUUAUGGACAAUCCCAAUGCAUUUUUCUGUUGCCUUCAGCAGUGCAACAAAAAAAAAAUAUAUAUAUAUUUCUUUUGGACUCAAUUUAGAUUGAUCCAGUCUGAUCAUGACUCCUUUACACAUAUUCUAGUUUUAGAGUCUGUCAGAUAUUACUGUACAUGAAAG
Molecule: non-coding RNA, 811 nt
Organism: Pelobates cultripes (western spadefoot toad)
Lineage: Eukaryota; Metazoa; Chordata; Amphibia; Anura; Pelobatidae
Source: the annotation of a GenBank genome assembly